Molecule: long non-coding RNA, 799 nt
Organism: Grammomys surdaster
Lineage: Eukaryota; Metazoa; Chordata; Mammalia; Rodentia; Muridae
Exons: 4
Source: RefSeq, a predicted model, not a curated record
AGAUAUGAGCGACUCACUUUAGGUUGCUCCUCUGGAAGGGGACCACAGCAGAGGAGUGGGUAGCUGUAUUGCACCUCACCCUCACACGGUGAGCAGAUUUACUGGGAUGAAGUCAAGUUGAAACCCUCCCCUGGACGGAGCUACAAUCAUUCAGUUUCUAUCAGCUUGGUAUUCUCCUAUCUAGAAACCCGUACAUGAAGAUCGUGAAGGAACUGAGAUUUCCCAGCCUAUGAGCUUACGGAAGCCCCUGCACUGGAUGGAAUGUGAUCACCUUGGCGGAAGGUUCCCAGGAGCCUUGCUGGAUGUUGUCUGCAAUGUAAACAUCCUUGAAAACCACCCUUGAAGUUUCUGUGAAAACAUUCAACAUCUUGGAAGGGAGGCUCGUGUACAGCUGCCAUCAUAUGGAUGGGAGGUCAGAGGACAGCGUGUGGAAAUCAGUUCUCUCUUACCACGUGAGCACCAUGGGACUUGGACUGUCCAUCGUGGCAGGAAGUAGCCUUGAUCUGCCCGCUGUAUGCAUUGCCAGUCUUCUGUCUUACUUUCUGAAACAGGGCCUUCAAUCCACCUGGAGCUCACUUAUUUGGCUGGGCUGGCUGGCCAGCACAUUCCAGGGAUGCAUCUGUCUCGGCCUGCCCAGUGCUGGAGGACUAAAACGGGAGGCAAGAUGAAGACGCUUGCCUUCUCUACGGAUGCCGUACAGGGUCUCCAUACAGCUCAUCUGUCAUCUACAGCUUCAGACUGUUCUUCUCUCACUCCCAUGACUCCCCAUUAAAGAAAUGUGUAACUUUCUUGCCUUUAA